RNAcentral lists this long non-coding RNA (25904 nucleotides) under Aquilegia coerulea. RNAcentral describes it as "long non-coding RNA (ACOE_LNC002124)". Lineage: Eukaryota; Viridiplantae; Streptophyta; Magnoliopsida; Ranunculales; Ranunculaceae. The record is from RNAcentral.
AUCGUGUGCUCAACCGAGUACUUAGUGAUUGGUUGAGCCACCCUUAACCAAUUUCUCGCCUCAAAGAAUGACGAUAUGUUGCCGAGUUGGGUAGCUCCUAGAGGGGUGGCAGCGAUGUCUCCCAAGUCGAAGAAGCGCUCCGGAACAAUAGCCUUGGCUCGAGGAUGAGCACCAAGGGAUGUGGGAUGAGGUGACAAGACCGAAGUGGGAGCUCUACCCCGUUGAGUGUGGGAAGUGGAUGCACCCUUAGAGCCAGGUGUUUCCUUAGCAAGUGUUGGACGAGCACGCUUUGGAGGCAUUGUCUGCACAAUCACACCAGUAAACAAACCAGAAAUGUAAGAAAAAUGACGAAAUUGUCAAUAGUAAGUUCAUUGAGGCAUUUGAUCAAACACUUGGUGUGCAUAACCUUGAGACAUGCGAAUGGCAACAAUGAAGUAAUGUCAAGUACACAAACACAUGGAAAACAAGGAUAACAUAAGAGAGACCAUGAACACAAAACAAGACAAGAGAGAAGAUAGGAAAGAGAACUUACGAGAGAUAGUGAUUGAGAAUAACCAACAACUUUGCCGACAAACACACCGGACCAAAACAAGAACAAGAGAAGGAGAACAAAUGCAAGCAAGAAAAAAAAAGUAGAAGAAUAUCUCCUAAAACAGUUAAGGAAACUCAAAAAAAAAAAAAAAAAAAACUAACUGGUUGUAGUGUGCCAAGAAAGAAGGAAACACGAUUGAUCUAACAGUUGGCUUUGUGUUUUAAAAAAUGGUUUUAAACAGCAAUUGGACCGAACUGUACCAGGGACGUACGUACAUCUGCUUAGUCCAACGUACGAGCCCCCUAACUACGUUCGUACGUUCGAGGAAGAAAAAAAAAUUCUGCCUCCCUUAACGUACGAACGUCCUAAAGACGUACGUACUCUCAUUUUUUUUUUUUUUUUUUGUUUUUUUUAUAUAUAUAUAUAAAACAAUUGAAAAACCAACCUUAAAACUAAACAACGACUAACACAAAUAUUGAGAGACAUCACAUAGAAACAUUUCUAAAUAUUGUAUGGAUUCCAAUUAUAGCACUAACACAAUUUGAACAAGCCUCGAUCAUGAGAAUGCAAAAUUGAAGAACUAACACACACACCAUGCCACGGUACUCAACAUAAUGAUGCAAAACCCAGAAACCACAGUCUAGGCCACAACACGAAAGGACCCUGAUUCAACCAACAUGAAAUUUCCCCCUAUUUUUUUUUUAUUUUUUUUAUUAUUAUUAUCCAUGUAAAACAAAUGCCAUUCUCGUGUGGGAGUAUAGAACACCUCCAUCUUUUACCAAAACACGAGGGUAGGGUGUAGCCUACAUCUUUUCGGUAAAAACACACUCAAGAAGUGCAAUACCAUGGUAACGUGCAACACAAGAACUAACAUCUCUUGAGUGCAUCCGUCAGAGCAUGACCCUCACAACCCCAACGGGUUCCUAGCCAACUGAUAAUGCGCCCAAGACAUUCAAAUGGCUGGGGAUUUUGUGAGUCAUUGACCACUUACAAGAGGUGUAUAUAUAAAAGAAAAACGAUGAUCAUGAAGAGUAAUCAUAUAAGAGUGAGGAUAGACAGUUAUUCCAAACAUCCCAUGACAUGCAAAUGCACUAUGUAAGACCCUACCAAAGGCAUAGAGAGUGUGAUGAAGCCCUACAACAAUGCAUUACAUAGAGACCUAGUUAAGGGUGCCAAAUUAUACAUAGCUGAAAAAUGGAAUCCACACAAUAAAGAGAAUAGUAUGUCCUCAAAACACCAGAAAUAGAAAAGAAUCAAAAGAAUGACCUAACCUAAACAUCCUAAACACAAACAGUUCCAAUUUCAGAGAGCACAUUAGAUAUAUAAAUGCGGAAGAGGCGUAGUGACAAUGAAACAGUUAUCAUGUGAACGACUACCAGUUAAUAGCAAGACAUGAUUUGAAUCAAAAACAUCACACUUAUCAUCCUCAAAAACAACUUUAAACUUAGCAUCACACAACUGACUAAUACUUAACAGAUUUGAUUUAAGACCUUUAACAAAAAGAAGCUCAUGACUAUUGAGCGAGCCCACCUCAGAAAAAUUACCUUUACCUUCAACUGGAAGCAUUUUACCAUUUCCAAAAGUAACCUUACCUCCAUAACCAAGAAUCAGGUUAUCAACGAGAGACUUAUCACCAGUCAUAUGACGCGAACAUCCGCUGUCAAGAUACCAUGAUGAAGGCAUUGGUUCAACCAAGCGAGCCAUGUGAGAUACUAUUUUCCUGGACACAUCCAUACUCCUAUCCCAGAAAUGUGGUGGUGGAGUAGGCAUGGGUGUUGCUUGAGGGCAAUUAACAUAAGGAGAAGUUUUGGGUAAGCCCCACGGAGCAUAGCCAUUCCACAUGUAUGGAGCCUGCAUGGAGAAGGUGGAAGACUUGUUCCAAUAUGAAUUACCUGCAAAAGAAGAAUGGUGAGCAGGAUACAAAUUGUUCCAACAAAAAGCAGAAGUGUGACCCAUGCGACCACAGGUUAGACAUUUAAAGCCUCUGUGUCUAAGAUUCUUUUUCCGGACAUGCUUUACACGAGUAACCUUGGGUGGGGAAACCACACCAGACACCUGCACAGGAGCAGGAAAAGCAACACCUGUUGGUCGGACAAAAGUAGUACGGGAGGUGCUAGCAGUAGAAAGAGGAACAGAUGUGUCGUAACCUAAUCCAGAUUUGUCUGAAUGGGAUUUACCAAUUCCCAGCAGAGAGUUUAGACUAUCACUGGCUUUACCAAACCCAACCAAUUGUUUGUUAGCAGCAAACAAUUCAGCGUUUACUUUCUCAUGUUCCAAUACAAGGGAUCGAUACCGUGUCUCCAGAUCAUUAUUCAGUUUUUCCAGAGUGGCAAUACGCACUUGGAAAUCCUCCUUUUCCUUCACAAAUUCUUCCUUCAACAUGUUGGAGUCACCUGCAAGGUUACAUAUAUCCUGCCCAAGACUAUCUACCUGUUCCUGCAAGACAGUGUUAGUUUUUUCAAGCAACUUUACUUGUUGCAUGGAAAACUUAUACAUAUCACAUAAUUCACUAGUAGUAUCAUGAACACCAGAAUCAGAAGCAUUAAUAUCAUCAGUAGAGGAUACAAUACCUCCUGGAUGCUCAUCCAGGGAUGCACUGAAGACCACAUAGUUGGAGACAACAUUUGAGGGAUUGCCAUCCUCAUCUUCAUCUGAAUCAUCCCACGUCACUGUGAGGUUCGCUUUGGAAUUAUCACCAGGUUUGCGAUCCACCUUCUUGUCACAUUCAUUAGCAAAGUGUCCAUAUUCACGACACUUGUAACAUUGGACAUCUUUACGAUCAACUCGAGCUCUUCUUCCAUCCACAUAGAAUCGCUCAAAACCACGACUCCUAGGAGCAUUUGAGGAGUCAAGAAAUCGCUUUCGAGGGUCUCGAUUCUGUUGAUAUUUCAGAAUCUUCUGAAAGCUACAUGAUAGAAACGAAUAGUUAUCAUCCACAACCUGUUCUUCAUCAUCAGAUAGUCCUGUGGGAGUUUCUUUAGACGAUGUAGCCUUGAAUGCCACAGACUUGUUCUUCAAAGGUUCUUCCAAGGCCUGUUCCAGCAAGUGUCUCAAUGGACAUGUUCUUAAUCACAUUACUCUCAGUAAUGGCAUCCUUACGAGAACGAAACCGAGGAGGCAAAGCACGCAAUAUCUUACGUACCACUUGUGUGUCAGUAUAUGCAUGACUAAUAGCAGCACUGCAAUUUAUAAUGUCUUGAAGACGAAUAAAUAAAUCAUCAAAAGUCUCAGAAUUAUCCAUCCGUAAAUUCUCAAACUGAGAUGUUAACAGUUCCAGCUUGCUUUCUUUGACAGUUUCGUCACCUUCAUGUGUACAGAUAAGCCUGUUCCAUGCAUCUUUAGCCUCUUCACAGCCUUGCACAUGAGGAAACUCACUGGCAUUUAAUGCCAUGAAAAUAGCAUUGAGUGCCUUGUUGUUAUAAUUUGCCAACAACUUCUGUUCAGAUGUCCACUUUUCACGUGGCGUCAGUGAUGUAACGGCAGUAUCAUCAGUACAUGUAGUAGUUUAAUCUUGAAUAAGCUACAAGACCCACUUGAUGUCAUCUCAAGGCUAACUAUAAAAAUGAAUAUAAGACUAAAAACAGACAAAACUGAGAAGUUGAGUCUUUUGACUCCAGAUGUACGUAAUAUCUCUCCAAGAAAAGGACGGGGCUCAAAGAGGAAGAUGAACUUGUCUCUUCAAUAUUCAAUUAAUAAAAAGCUACCUAAACCUUAGCUACUACUUCUCUUAUAUAGAAAAUACAAAGUAGAAUAUGAGAAACUAUAAAUAGUGCUAAUAUAACAGUUGAAUAUUCAAACAAAUCAAACAAUAUGCAGAAAGUAAAUAACACACAGAAAUUUUUAACGUGGUAAAACCCAAUAAGGGAAACGUCCACGCUUGUCCUCGCGACAACAAAAAAUCCACUAGAUGAAAAGAGAUGUACAAACCUAUCAACUACCUGCAAUCACUGCGAGUUGACACUCCUGGUUAUCUCUAACACCUUGACUUCACCAGAGCACCUUGAUGUACGCACAAGACACUUGACUUCUUGAUGAACACACAAGAAGACUCGAAGCCGAAUUCACAAUGAAACUUGGAAGAUAACAGAUUUAUGAAUUGAGAGAAGGGGGAAGGAAGGGAAUUGAGUUCAAUAACCAAAAACAGUUUCAACACCAAAACCUAAACCAAAACUCCAGAACAAGAGGAAUACUGGACGGCCAAAGAACUAACUUGUCCUUUGGAAGAGAAACCCUAUUUAUACUUAGGGUUGGAAAACACAGAAAAUGGGCCGAAAUAGAGAAAAUCCACAUUGGACGUACGUACGUCGAAAUGACGUUCGUACGUCUCCAUACGAAACAAGCUUGCUGACAGCUUGGACGUACGAAUGUCCUAACAAGGUACGUACGUCCAGACCAAAAACUAUUUUGCUGCCUAACCUGAUGUACGUACGUCCUAACAAGGUACGUACGUCCUGAACCAAAAACCAUACUUGACACAAGACGCGAAGACAAGGACACAGGAUGACAUGCGUACAACAAGAUUUUCUUAACAAUGAACUCAAGGCGAAAUAACCAUGGACGACCAAUGUCACAAAAUUGAUGUCAAACAACUUAGAGCCGGUUUCAGGUUGUUGCUCGAUUGUCUGAUGAGCAAUCAACUGCUAGUAAAGAAUGCUCUAGUGACUGUGACAGGGAUUUGAUUCUGAUUGACAAUAAUGAUUGGGCUACCCUAUACCGGUUAUCCAGAAAGGAAUGUCUAAGGUUGGAGGCACAAAAUAGUAUUCUUCAGGAUAGACUUGACUUACUCUCUGCUAGUUCCUCGUCUAUGUCAAUCCUGGAUAGGGAACCUGAAUCUUGGCAGGUCGAUAAGGUGACCUUAUUGAGCAAUCUUGCUGCUCUUGAGCACGACAAGGUCGAAUGGGAAGCCCGGUGUAAUAUUUUGUCCACUGAACUAGACGAUAUCAAAAAGGAACUGAUCCGUCUUCAGUUGUUCGAAAACUGCAAUGGGUUGUCAUCUUCUGAACUACCUCCACUGUUGCCCCAUCCUCCUACCAAAAAGUCUGACAUUCAUCACUCUGUGGCCACGGUAGGCAUCCGGCGUAAAUGGAAACCGUUUAGGCGUGCUCCUCCUCAGGAAAGAAAACGUCAAAUGCCUUGCUCAUUAUGCGGACAGUUUGGACAUUGGGCCUCGCAGUGUGUUGUGGCUGCUCAUGUUCCACAACCAUGGAAGCUGUUUUCACAGCCGUCGUAUUUUUAUCCAUCUUAUCCAUAUGCUUCUUACUCUUCUCCUUGUAACUUUGCAGGAAAUGUUUCAAAUGUGGCGAUUACUGCCCUUCAUGUCUCGAGCUCGGAUAGUGAGUGGUUACUUGAUAGUGGUGCUUCAAAACAUAUGUCAAGUAAUGCCAAACUUUUCUCCUCCGUUACUGCUAUAGAUGGUGGAAGUGUCACUUUUGGUAAUGGUAAGCGCUCUCCUGUGAUUGGUAAGGGAUUUGUUGCUGGUAUUGGUCUAUCUUCGAAUGAUGUUUGUUUGUUAGUUGAUGGGUUGCGUGUUAAUUUGAUCAGUAUUAGCCAACUGUGUGAUACUGAUCAUACUGUUAAUUUUUCUAAAAAUAUAUGUACUGUGCUUGAUAGUUCGGGUAAGUGUAUCAUGACAGGUAAACGUACAUUGGAUAAUUGCUAUGCCAUUCAGCCUGUUGCAUCUGGCAUAAACUGCUUACCUAGCAAACUAAAUGAGGGUCUGUUGUGGCAUCAACGACUAGGUCAUGUCAACUUUGAACACCUGGACAAUCUAACUCGGAAUGAAUAUAUCAAGGGAGUUCCUAGACUUGGAAGAAAUCGCGACACUGUGUGUGGUGGGUGUCAACUAGGUAAACAGAUACGGAGUCCACAUUCCAAGAAAAAGUCCAUAACCACUUCCUCUCCUUUAGAACUCAUACACAUGGAUCUGAUGGGUCCUACUCGUACUCCUAGCUUAGGAGGCAAACGAUACAUCUUGGUUAUGGUUGAUGAUUACACUCGCUUUACCUGGGUAUCAUUCUUGCAUGAAAAAUCUGAUGCGUUUCUUGAGUUUCAGGGGAUAUGUCUUUGUAUUAAGAAUGAGAAAAUACUCAAAUUAAACAUGUCAGAAGUGACAGAGGUCGUGAGUUCACAAACACAGGUGUUAUUGAAUAUUGCAUUGCAAAUGGUACGUGGCAAGAAUUUUCCGCCCCAUACACUCCGCAACAAAACGGAGUCGCUGAAAGGAAAAACCGUGUUAUUCAGGAGAUGGCUCGUGCUAUGUUGCAUGCGAAGGAUGUUCCUACCAAGUUUUGGGCGGAAGCGGUUCAUACUGCUUGUUACAUCAUGAACCGUGUAUAUCUGAGAUCUGGUACUACACAAACUGCUUAUGAGCUAUGGUAUGGUAAGAAGCCGAAUCUCAAAUAUAUGCGAGUUUUUGGCAGUGUUUGCUAUGUGUGCAAGGACAGACAAAGUCUCUCCAAGUUUGAUAGUCGAGGUGAUGUUGCUCUUUUACUUGGUUAGUCCUCUAAUAGUAGGGCAUUUCGAGUAUUUAACUACACCACUCGCACGGUCAUGGAAUCCUUUAAUGUUGUUGUUGAUGACACUAUUAUAUCUGACUCUUCUGUUUCUACUGGUACACAGGAUAUCACAGUUCUCUCACCCGUGUCAGACUCUGUUGACAUGUCUCCCAUGUCGUUAUCAUUACCUGAUAAUGGCAAUGAUGGUACUAAACCUUCGGUUGCUGCAGAGGACUUGCCUGGUAGGACCAGUGCUGUGCCCACACCGGAUGAUGUUGUUUCAUCACCAGGAGUGGUUGAUGUGUCUCCAGAUCACUCCACUGUGCCUGCUGAACCUGACGGGUUGUUUACUCAAGCAUCACCUCGUGUUAAACAACAUCACUCCUUAGGGGAUAUCAUUGGGGAUAUUAAUGAUCAGCGUCUGACUCGUCGAAGGGCCAAGGAGACAAAUUGUGUUCACUAUGUUUGUUAUCUCUCUUCUCUUGAACCUAAACAUGUUAUUGAUGCUCUUACUGAUGAUGAUUGGCUAGUUGCUAUGCAGAAAGAACUCGGUCAGUUUAAGCGUAGUGAUGUUUGGACAUUAGUUCCUAGACCUACUCACACUAAUGUGGUUGGCACCAAGUGGAUCUUUAAAAACAAAUUGGAUGAGUUUGGGCAGAUUGUGCGCAACAAGGCAAGGCUUGUAGCUCAGGGCUAUAGUCAGAUUGAAGGUAUUGACUACGGAGAGACUUUUGCUCCUGUGGCUAGGUUGGAGUCAGUCAGGCUUCUUCUUGCAAUGGCAUGCCACUUGAAUUUCAAGUUGUAUCAAAUGGAUGUCAAAAGUGCGUUCCUCAAUGGUAUUCUCAAUGAGGAGGUCUAUGUUGAACAACCAAAGGGGUUUGUGGAUCACACUUUUUCGAAUCAUGUCUUCAAAUUGCAAAAAGCAUUGUAUGGUUUCAAACAGGCUCCUCGAGCUUGGUAUGAACGUCUGACAUCUUUCUUACUAGGGAAAUGAUUUGUUCGUGGCCGUGUUGAUCGAACUUUGUUUAUACUGAGAAAGAAUAAUGAUGUUCUUCUCGCCCAAGUCUAUGUGGAUGAUAUAGUGUUUGGAUCCACGUGCCCAAGUCUUUCUGAAUCUUUUUCUCAGUUAAUGAGUUCUGAAUUUGAAAUGAGCUUAAUGGGAGAACUCAAUUUCUUUCUUGGCUUGCAGGUAAAGCAGUUUGACCAUGGAGCUUUCAUCUCUCAAACAAAGUAUGCCAAAGAACUGGUUAAAAAGUUUGGUUUUAGCGCUUUAAAUGGUCAAGAUACUCCCAUGGGAGAUAGGGUACGUCUUGGUAAGGAUCUUAUGGGUAAGUCUGUUGAUAUUCGUGAAUAUCGUAGUAUGAUUGGUAGUCACUUGUAUCUCACUGCUAGUCGUCCAGAUAUUGCUUAUAGUGUUGGAGUAUGUGCAAGGUUUCAGGCUAACCCUAAGGAAUCUCAUCUCACUGCUGUUAAACGUAUCAUUCAGUAUGUUGCUAGCACAUUUGACUACGGAUUAUGGUUCACCAGAGGUACAAAUAGUGUUGUGGCAGGUUAUUGUGAUGCUGAUUGGGGUGGUAAUCUUGAUGAUCGUCAUAGUACCAGUGGUGGCUGUUUCUAUGUUGGGAAUAAUCUUGUUUCCUGGCAUAGCAAGAAACAAUCAUCUGUAUCCAUCUCCUCGUGUGAAGCUGAGUAUAUAGCUGCAGCUAGUGCAUGUACACAACUUCUGUGGAUGCGUCAGAUGCUUCGGGACUAUGGCAUUCAACAGCAGGCGAUGGACUUGUUCUGUGAUAACACCAGUACCAUUAGUAUUUCCAAAAACCCUGUUCAGCACUCACGAACAAAGCAUAUCGACAUUCGUCAUCAUUUCCUUCGUGAGGCGGUUGAAAAGGGUGAUAUAGCAAUGGAAUUCAUUCCUACUGAACAUCAGUUAGCGGACAUUCUUACAAAACCUCUUGAUGCAGCUCGCUUUCAUUCCUUGCGUAAGUCCAUUGGGGUUGUAUCUCUUCCCUAAUUGUUUUUGGUCCUUUCCUUUUCUCUCUGUUCUUAUAUCUCUGGUCAUGUCUGUUUUUGCCAUUAUGGUUGGGUGUGUUGUUCCUUUCUUACUCGAUUGAGGGUAAAGGUAAUUUUUUUUUUUUGAGGUUGGCUCGCUCAAUAGUCAUGAGCUUCUUUACAUAUGGCUAUUUGUUAGGGUUUUUGGUCUUUAACAAAAAAAAAAAAAAUAUAUAUAUAUAUAUAUAUACACACAUUUUGUGGUUUACCUUGUUAUGGGUGUUUGGGAUACACAUACUUUGUAUAUGUGAUUAGAUUGGCCUUUUGCUUUCAAUCAUACUUGUAUACUUAGUGCUCAUGAAUAUAUCUAUUUCAUUACACUUGGCAUACGCUUGUGCUUUCAUGUUUAGAUUCUAGACCAACGUUUAUCUAGUUGUAUCUCAUGCUUACAUCCUUGCUUGAUUACACUAUGCACAACUAGCUGGCACUUUGAGAGUUUGUUUGCAUAUCUUUUUCCAUUCUUUGAACAUGAUGACCUUCUAGGAUAAUCAUUCGUUGGAAAUAUACGUAUGCAUGCCUUCUUAUGUUAUCUUGUUUAUUAGUAUGAAGGCGGUGUGGUAGUGGUCAACAAUUCACAAAAUCCCCAGCUUUUUGAUCUUCUUGAGAGAGAAAUCAUUUGGUAUAUUUUCCCGUUGGGGCCGUGAGGGUCAUGCAAUGACGGAUGCACUCAGGAGAUGUUAGUUCUUGUGUUGCACGUUACCAUGAUGUUGCACUACUUUACGUUUAUUUUUAUUUUUUUUUUUAAAAAAAAAAAAAAGGGUAUAUGUGCAUCUUCCCGGGUCUGUUUAGGCAUUUGUGUAGUGACAUCCUUCUAAUGGUGUUUACUAGUUGUUUUGAGUGUUCUUAUGUUUUGGGAGUGAGGUGUGUAAAUGACUCUCCUUGUGUUUUCUUUAGCUUUUCCACACACCAAGGAUGUUUGUAUGAUGCGUUUCUAGUCGAUGGUUGGUUUCUUAUCUUACUUUUUGAUUGGUGCGUACUUUGUUUAAUGAGACCAAGGUUAUUCAUCUCUACUAAGUAUCUUGUUUUUGAUUGAGCUUGCAUAUACUCCCUUCUACUCUUGUAUGCAUGGUUCUUUGUGUGUUUCCAAUAUCCUUGGUUGGUUUCUUUGUUCUGGGUGCAUCUUUCCUAUAUGCCUUGCAUUUAUGUGUGUUUUGUUUCUCCAUUUAGAUGUUGAGUAUGUUCUUGGAUGUUGCUAGUUUGAUAUUAGUUCUAGUUUCUUUCUGUUUUGUAGUAAAUUCCUGCUACUUAGGUAAUGGACCUUCCUAAUUGGGCCCAUGUUGGGUUCAUGUUUGUUUUUCUAUAUAUAUAUAGGUGUUUUUCUCUUCUUCUAUCUAUUGUAUGUUUUCUUACCUCCUUCUAGUUCUGUCCUUGUUCUUCAGACUUUUCAAUGGCAGAAUAUGAAGUUCAUGGGGUAUUUGUUCCGGCUGUUGGUUAUGUGUCGUUUAUGGUGAUGGAAUACAAAUUAAAACAAUUCGAAAGUUUGUCGCUUAUGUCGUGUUCCCCAUGGGUAUGACUAUAUUCAUCCAUCCUUUUUUAAUCCGUGCGUGGUUCAUGUCAACCAUUGGGAGAGAUUACCAGGACAUCUUCAGAAUCACAUCUUGGAGUUGGUUGGAUACCCGAAAGUUUCAGGACUUGCUGCUCCUCUCACCGACUGUGGCUUGGACAGUAGAAUUGAAGAGUUAUUUUGUACGAGUGAAUGGCUGGAGGAUUAUGAUGAUCAUGUGAUAGCUCGGUGGAAUAGAUCUUCGGCUCGUGCGGAAGCUUAUUUCUCCAAGCUUCCUCUAGGUCAUUGGGAACGAAUUUUUCGAAUUCGUUAACUUCAGUUUUAUGUUCUGUCUUUAUUGUUUCUUAUGUUUAUGGAUUCCUAUAUUUGGUUAUUAGUUGUUUUCAUGACUUUUUAGAGUUGGGAUAGGUUUUAUUUUUUAUCUGUUUUGUCUUGAUUGUUUGGUGUUGGUCUCUUUACUUGGUUAUUUUUGUUUCUUGCUUUUUGUUUCUCUUGUUAAUUGGUUCUCUUGUUCACUUGUUGUGACAAAAAGGGGGAGAUUUAUGACUCUAAUUACUAACAAUCGUCUCUUUGUUGUUAGGAUAUUUUUGGGUCAUGUUUCAGGUAUGCUACACGUAUGGGGGAGCUCAAGUGUCAAACUUUGGAGCUCAUGCAGUAUGGGGGAGUUGCUCAAAGGAGCUUCUGUUGAUUACUUGAUUGCUUCGAAAAUUCUUAGUUGCUUCCGUUUGGUCUCUGAUGGUUAAAGCGUCUUGCUCAAGCUGGAUAUCAAGAAUUGGUGACUCGGAAUGUGUUCUACCUUGAGUGUUUUGUUGGCAUGUUUUAUAAAUGCCAUGGUUUGGGUUUGUAAGCACAUUUUAUAAGUGCUAUUAGAGUCAUAGGUUUUUGUCACAAAAUCAAUGUCAAAGGGGGAGAUUGAAACCGGCUCUAAGUUGUUUGACAUCAAUUUUGUGACAUUGGUCGUCCAUGGUUAUUUCGCCUUGAGUUCACUGUUAAGAAAAUCUUGUUGUACGCAUGUCAUCUUGUCUUCGCGUCUUGUGUCAAGUAUGGUUUUUGGUUCAGGACGUACGUACCUUGUUAGGACGUACGUACAUCAGGUUAGGCAGCAAAAUAGUUUUUGGUCUGGACGUACGUACCUUGUUAGGACGUUCGUACGUCCAAGCUGUCAGCAAGCUUGUUUCGUAUGGAGACGUACGAACGUCAUUUCGACGUACGUACGUCCAAUGUGGAUUUUCUCUAUUUCGGCCCAUUUUCUGUGUUUUCCAACCCUAAGUAUAAAUAGGGUUUCUCUUCCAAAGGACAAGUUAGUUCUUUGGCCGUCCAGUAUUCCUCUUGUUCUGGAGUUUUGGUUUAGGUUUUGGUGUUGAAAGUGUUUUUGGUUAUUGAACUCAAUUCCCUUCCUUCCCCCUUCUUUCAAUUCAUAAAUCUGUUAUCUUCCAAGUUUCAUUGUGAAUUUGGCUUCGAGUCUUCUUUUGUGUUCAUCAAGAAGUCGAGUGUCUUGUGCGUACAUCAAGGUGCUCUGGUGAAGUCAAGGUGUUAGAGAUAACCAGGAGUAUCAACUCGCAGUGAGCGCAGGUAGUUGAUAGGUUUGUACAUCUCUUUUCAUCUAGUGGAUUAUUUGUUGUCAUCAAGGCAACCGUGGACGUUUCCCUUAUUGGGUUUUACCACGUUAAAAUUUUUUGUGUGUUAUUUACUUUCUGCGUAUUGUUUGAUUUGUUUGAAUAUUCAAUUGUUAUAUUAGCACUAUUUGUAGUUUCUCAUAUUCAACUUUGUAUUUUCUAUAUAAGAGAAGUAGUAGCUAAGGUUUAGGUAGCUUUUUAUUAAUUGAAUAUUGAAGAGACAAGUUCAUCUUCCUCUGUGAGCCCCGUCCUUUUCUUGGAGAGAUAUUACGUACAUCUGGAGUCAAAAGACUCAACUUCUCAGUUUUGUCUGUUUUUAGUCUUAUAUUCAUUUUUAUAGUUAGCCUUGAGAUGACAUCAAGUGGGUCUUGUAGCUUAUUCAAGAUGUGAUCACCAUAUCAGUACUUAGAGAUGAUACAAAGAUAUUUAGAUAAACCCUGUUUACCUUAGCCUACCCUGAUGAUAAAAUAUUCCUUAGGUUAACCAUUGUGAGCCUUUCUUGUUACUUAACAUUUUUCUUGAGCCCAUUAUCCUUACCCAACUCUAUUGUAGGAGUAAAUACCCUUAGAAUAUGUAGAUCCUUUAACUCAUAGUUUUUGGAACAUAAGAAUGAUUGUUUAUAUGGUUACAAGAAGAAAGGAGAAAUACAAAAGAAAUCUCCAAACUAGUGAGAUGAACCAAAUAUUGAAAAUUAAAAAGUUUGAAGAAAUUCCAGAAAAAGCCAGAAUCUUCCCAAACCAUUUCAAAUCUAAAAGAAAAGAAUAUUCAUAAAUUGGCUAGAGCUUCAUUGAAAUUUUCUCAAAAGAAGAUGAGAAACACUUCUUCCCAAAAAAAAAUUCCAAAAAUUUCUCCAUGUGUUGUUAUUACAAAUCACAAGUAUUGAAGGCUCGAAUGUUCCAAAAAUAUUUCACAACCUUUUUCAUUUCUAGCCAUGUCCUAAGCCAAGUUACAACUAAUUAUUCUCUUUCGUAGAUCUAAGCUGAUAUGGUACGAUCUGGCGAGUAAGUGAGAAGGUGCUGAGGUAAAAAGCCUGACAUCUCAAGCAAUGCUAAUUUUUUCCAUUCUUUGAGACAAAGUUCAUUCCAUUACACCAGUCCGUUUUUAUUGAAAUAUGUGAGAUGAUUGUCCAUCUUCUUUCCUCACAUAGAGGUAAAAUGAUAAACACCAUCUCUGAGCGAUUUUUAUUUCUGAGUGUAUGUCUGUGAGGCAGAAGUCAAGGCGACAUUUCCAAUAGUUACUUAUGACCCGUGGUAGCAUAGGUACAUGCCUGUCUUCCAUUCAUUUGAAACCGUUAUGCUUGGUUUAUAUUUCAUAUCUUAUUCAUGCAUUUAUAGUAUGCUAUCUUAUAUAAACGGUUUUGCAAUACUUAUCCUUAUUCUUGAUAUAGCCAUUUCUGAGGUAAAUGGUAGAAAUUCAUGUUCCUUGGAUUAGUCAUUGUAGUAAGUUUGUGGGUAUAUUCUCUGAAAAAACCCUCAGGAGACUAUAACUUCUCCACUUGGGAAAUCCUUGUGGUUGAAAGCCUUGAUGCAUAUGGUGAAUACAAUCACCUUAAUUUUACUUCUCUUUUGAGUCCUUAAUUCUUUUUUUCUCACCUUUGCUUGAGGACAAGCAAAGUGCUGUUUGGGGGUAUUUGAUAAGUUCUCAAAAGUGUAUAUUUAUCCCCUUAAUAACACCUUGUUUGUUUAACACUUAGCUUAUAUUAUUAUGUUAUAUCUAUUGAUUAGUGCUUCCUUGUCUAUUGUGUAGGUUUCAUGACCCGAAAUGCGAAUAUUGUGUUAAACCCCGCAAAAAAUAAUAAAAGCAAACAAAAAGGUGUUCUUUGCAAAAUAGAAGGAGAAUUGAUAUUUGCACCCACAGAUCUACUGAGGACACUCCACGGUCAGUCCCGUUGACUUGACUUUAUGUCAAAGUGGGGCGGUCCAAAUCUCAGCCCAAACCGGGUCCUAUUGGAGCCCACAAGUCAGAAUUUCUAUUUAGGGCUUUAUUUAAAGUCCAAACUUAAAAAGGCUCUACAAGGAGAUCCAGAAGUCUGAUUUGGGCCCAUGAGCUAUCAAACAGAAGGUCUUGGUCCAAGAUACAACUUAAGCCCAAGAUAAUUAGGUUUUGCUGAAGACCUAAUGCCUCUAGAAGACCAGCAGCAUCCAUGAAUUUGACCUAAUUUGGAAGUCUUUGCAUGCAAGUAUUCUACUUUGUAUUUUCUAUAUAAGAGAAGUAGUAGCUAAGGUUUAGGUAGCUUUUUAUGAAUUGAAGAUUGAACAGAAUAGUUCAUCUUCUUCUUUUGUCUCAAACUCAAUAUUAAUAUCAAUUCCAUUAUCUUUUCCAUUAUGAUGUCUUGUGAUUUAUUUAUUUAUUCCAUGGUGUCAUAAUCAAGGAUGAGUAGCUAAAUCUCCUUAGGGGGAUGGUUGAAGCACUCUAGAUGAUGCAAAAACACCAUGUUUGUUCUUAUUGUUCAUUGUGAUUCAAAGUUCUUAAUACUUAUUUACUUCUAAUUCGCGAUAUGAGGUAAGUAUGAUUAUUUGCACGUUAUUAUUAUUCUGUUGGUAAAAUACUAUUGUUAGGGUUUAGGGAGACCUAGCUUUAAUGGUUUUAUUUAUAUUGAUUAAAAAUGUGUAGUGAAAUAGCUGAGAGGUGAUUAUUACAUAUCAGCCGUUGAUAUCUUUUAUUGGAACCCUUUUGUAAUUAAGUCAAAUAGCUGAGAGGUGAUGAUUUAGUUAUGAAUAAUAUGUUGAGUUAAUUAAAGUGAAUAGCUGGGAGGUGACGAUUUGAUUAAUAAGAUAUAUUCAAUAGCAUGAAUAAGAGAAUCCCGUUUUAAUUGAGUGGAAUAGUUGAGAGGUGACUAUUUGAUUAUUAUAGGUAUUAAUGAUUAGUUGGAUUAACUGAGAGGUGACUAAUUAAUUGUUAUAGAUUGAACAUGAAGGAAUAACACGUUAAGUUUGCAUGAUUUAGUUUGUGGAUACCAAUUCUUCCCCAUUUGUCAUCAUUAAUCUUCUUUACAUUUCUACCAUAUUCUUAAGUUAGGGUUUAUUUAAUUAUUGCCUGUAGGAAGUUAGAAUCAAUCUCAAAACUUGUUUGUUGAUUCCCUUGGUGUUUCUUAACCAUUGUUUUCUAUUGUGUUUGAGCUAAGAUCUCCCCUUCUGAGGUGGGUACGACCCUUGCUUGUUACUUAUCUACUUUGAUAUCCAAUUUAUACAGGCACAAGAAGGAACUUAAAGUUAAAAAUAUAAUCUUUUGACAGAGAUUAGAGAUUAACAUCUUUGGCCUCUAACAGUGUCUCGUGCCAUUCUACAAAGAUAAUGGUGAAAAAUGGUUCUCUACGAGGUCACAGUGGUGAGAAACUACAAAUAGUGCUAAUAUAACAGUUCAAACAAAUCAAACAAUGCGCAGAAAGUAAAUAACACACAGAAAUUUUUAACGUGGUAAAACCCAAUAUGGGAAACGUCCACGGUUGUCCUCUCAACAACAAAUAAUCCACUAGAUGAAAAGAGAUGUACAAACCUAUCAACUACCUGCAAUCACUGCGAGUUGACACUCCUGGUUAUCUCUAACACCUUGACUUCACCAGAGCACCUUGAUGUACGCACAAGACACUCGACUUCUUGAUGAACACACAAGAAGACUCGAAGCCGAACUAUGAAACAAGCUUACACCAGAGUUCCUUGAUGAACACACAAGGAUACUCGACUUCUUGAUGAACACACAAGAAGACUCGAAGCUAAAUCACUAUUCAACAAUGAAGAAGAAGAUGAAUAGGGAAGAAGGAAGAAGAAGAUGAAUGGGGAAGAAAGAAGAUGAGUUCAAUCACCAAAACAACUUAAACCAAAACCUAAACAAACUCCAAGAACAAGAGAAAUCUUGGACGGCCAAAGAAUUAACUUGUUCUUUGGAAGAGAAACCCUAUUUAUACUUAGGGUUGGAAACCAAGGAAAAUGGGCCGAAAUACUGAAAAUCCAUAUNNNNNNNNNNNNNNNNNNNNNNNNNNNNNNNNNNNNNNNNNNNNNNNNNNNNNNNNNNNNNNNNNNNNNNNNNNNNNNNNNNNNNNNNNNNNNNNNNNNNCAUUGGGAAACAUGUGUGUUUCGUCAACUUAUAAGUUCGGAAAAUAAAUUGAGUACAUAUGAAGCCGAAUGUCCAGACAAUACCCAGUUCCCAUGGUCCAAAUGUUCUAUAUUGGCCUUAAAACGUCCCGGCUAAAACAUGUCGAUCUUGAGGUUUUAGAUUCCAAAACAAGUGAGUUUCGUCCAUUUCCAAGUUCGGACCGAAAACCGAGUAAAUGCCAACCAAACGGACGGACAUAAAUCUCGUUUUUACGGACGGAACAGUGUUUUUUCACCUUAGAACGCCCCGAGUUAAGUAAUGGGGUGGCUAGUCUCUUAGGUGUAUCGUUUUCCAUUGGGAAACAUGUGUGUUUCGUCCACUUAUAAGUUCAGAACAAAAAUCGAGUACAUACCAAGCCGAAUUUCCGGACAAAACACCGUUCCCAUGGUCCAAAUGUUCUAUAUUCGCCUUAAAACGCUCCGACUAAGCCUUGUCGAUCUUGAGGUUUUAGGUUCCAAAACAAGUGAGUUUCGUACAUUUCCAAGUUCGGACCGAAAACCGAGUAAAUGCCGACCGAACGGACGGACAUAAAUCUCGUUUUUACGGACGGAACGUUGUUUUUUCACCUUAGAACUCCCGAGUUAAGUAAUGGAGUGUCUAGUCUCUUAGGUGUAUCAUUUUCCAAUGGGAAACAUGUGUGUUUCGUCCACUUAUAAGUUCGGAACAAAAAUCGAGUAAAUACCAAGCCGAAUGUCUGGUCAAAACACCGUUCCCAUGGUCCAAAUGUUCUAUAUUGGCCUUAAAACGCCCAGGCUAAGCCUUGUCGAUCUUGAGGUUUUAGAUUCCAAAACAAGUGAGUUUCGUCCAUUUCCAAGUUCGGACCGAAAACCGAGUAAAUGCCGACCGAACGGACGGACAUAAAUCUCGUUUUUACGGACGAAACGUUGUUUUUUCACCUUAGAACGCCCCGAGUUAUGUAAUGGAGUGGCUAGUCUCUUAGGUGUAGCGUUUUCCAAUGGGAAACAUGUGUGUUUCGUCCACUUAUAAGUUCGGAAAAAAAAUCGAGUACAUACCAAGCCGAAUGUCCGGAAAAAACACCGUUCCCAUGGUCCAAAUGUUCUCUAUUGGCCUUUAAACGCCCCGACUAAGCCAUGUCGAUCUUGAGGUUUAGAUUCCAAAACUAGUGAGUUUCGUCCAUUUCUAAGUUCGGACCGAAAUCCGAGUAAAUGCCGACCAAACGGACGGACGGAACGUUGUUUUUUCACCUUAGAACGCCCCGAGUUAAGUAAUGGAGUGGCUAGUCUCUUAGGUGUAUCGUUUUCCAUUGGGAAACAUUUGUGUUUCAUCCACUUAUAAGUUCAGAACAAAAAUCGAGUACAUACCAAGCAGAAUUUCCGGACAAAACCCCGUUCCCAUUGUCCAAAUGUUCUAUAUUGGCCUUAAAACACCACGACUAAGCCUUGUCGAUCUUGAGGUUUUAGAUUCCAAAACAAGUGAGUUUCGUCCAUUUUCAAGUUCGGACUGAAAACCGAGUAAAUGCCGACCGAACGGACGGACAUAAAUCUCGUUUGUACGGACGGAACGUUGUUUUUCACCUUAGAACGCCCCGAGUUAAGUAACGGAGUGGCUAGUCUGCUAGGUGUAUCAUUUUCCAAUGGGAAACAUGNNNNNNNNNNNNNNNNNNNNNNNNNNNNNNNNNNNNNNNNNNNNNNNNNNNNNNNNNNNNNNNNNNNNNNNNNNNNNNNNNNNNNNNNNNNNNNNNNNNNNNNNNNNNNNNNNNNNNNNNNNNNNNNNNNNNNNNNNNNNNNNNNNNNNNNNNNNNNNNNNNNNNNNNNNNNNNNNNNNNNNNNNNNNNNNNNNNNNNNNNNNNNNNNNNNNNNNNNNNNNNNNNNNNNNNNNNNNNNNNNNNNNNNNNNNNNNNNNNNCCUUAGAACGCCCCGAGUUAUGUAAUGGAGUGGCUAGUCUCUUAGGUGUAUCGUUUUCCAAUGGGAAAUAUGUUUGUUUCGUCCACUUAUAAGUUCGGAAAAAAAAUCGAGUACAUACCAAGCCGAAUGUCCGGAAAAAACACCGUUCCCAUGGUCCAAAAGUUCUCUAUUGGCCUUUAAACGCCCCGACUAAGCCAUGUUGAUCUUGAGGUUAAGAUUCCAAAACUAGUGAGUUUCGUCCAUUUCUAUGUUCGGACCGAAAACCGAGUAAAUGCCGACCAAACGGACUGACGGAACGUUAUUUUUUCACCUUAGAACGCCCCGAGUUAAGUAAUGGAGUGGCUAGUCUUUUAGGUGUAUCGUUUUCCAUUGGGAAACAUGUGUGUUUCGUCCACUUAUAACUUCAGAACUAAAAUCGAGUACAUACCAAGCCGAAUUUCCGGACAAAACACCGUUCCCAUGGUCCAAAUGUUCUAUAUUGGCCUUAAAACGCCCCCGACUAAGCCUUGUCGAUCUUGAGGUUUUAGAUUCCAAAACAAGUGAGUUUCGUCCAUUUCCAAGUUCGGACCGAAAACCGAGUAAAUGCCGACUGAAUGGACGGAAAUAAAUUUCAUUUUUACGGACGAAACGUUGUUUUUUCACCUUAGAACGCCCCGAUUUAAGUAAUGGGGUGGCUAGUCUCUUAGGUGUAUCGUUUUCCAUUGGGAAACAUGUGUGUUUCGUCCACUUAAAAGUUCAGAACAAAAAUCGAGUACAUACCAACCCGAAUUUCCGAACAAAACACCGUUCCCAUGGUCCAAAUAUUCUAUAUUGGCCUUAAAACGCCCCGACUAAGCUUUGUCGAUCUUGAGAUUUUAGAUUCCAAAACAAGUGAGUUUCGUCCAUUUUCAAGUUCGGACUGAAAACCGAGUAAAUGCCGACCGAACGGACGGACAUAAAUCUCGUNNNNNNNNNNNNNNNNNNNNNNNNNNNNNNNNNNNNNNNNNNNNNNNNNNNNNNNNNNNNNNNNNNNNNNNNNNNNNNNNNNNNNNNNNNNNNNNNNNNNCCUUAGAACGCCCCGAGUUAAGUAAUGGAGUGGCUAGUCUGUUAGGUGUAUCAUUUUCCAAUGGGAAACAUGUGUGUUUCGUCCAAUUAUAAGUUCGGAACAAAAAUCAAGUACAUACCAAGCCGAAUGUCUGGGCAAAACACCGUUCCCCUGGUCCAAAUGUUCUAUAUUGGCCCUAAAACGCCCAGACUAAGCCUUGUCGAUCUCGAGGUUUUAGAUUACAAAACAAGUGAGUUUCGUCCAUUUCCAAGUUCGGACCGAAAACCGAGUAAAUGCCGACCGAACGGACGGACAUAAAUAUCGUUUUUACGGAUGAAACGUUGUUUUUUCACCUUAGAACGCCCCGAGUUAUGUAAUGGAGUGGCUAGUCUCUUAGGUGUAUCGUUUUCCAAUGGAAAAACAUGUUUGUUUCGUCCACUUAUAAGUUCGGAAAAAAAAUCGAGUACAUACCAAGCCGAAUGUCCGGAAAAAACACCGUUCCCAUGGUCCAAAAGUUCUCUAUUGGCCUUUAAACGCCCCGACUAAGCCAUGUCGAUCUUGAGGUUAAGAUUCCAAAACUAGUGAGUUUCGUCCAUUUCUAUGUUCGGACCGAAAACCGAGUAAAUGCCGACCAAACAGACUGACGGAACGUUAUUUUUUCACCUUGGAACGCCCCGAGUUAAGUAAUGGAGUGGCUAGUCUUUUAGGUGUAUCGUUUUCCAUUGGGAAACAUGUGUGUUUCGUCCACUUAUAACUUCAGAACUAAAAUCGAGUACAUACCAAGCCGAAUUUUCGGACAAAACACCGUUCCCAUGGUCCAAAUGUUCUAUAUUGGCCUUAAAACGCCCCCGAUUAAGCCUUGUCGAUCUUGAGGUUUUAGAUUCCAAAACAAGUGAGUUUCGUCCAUUUCCAAGUUCGGACCGAAAACCGAGUAAAUGCCGACUGAAUGGACGGACAUAAAUUUCAUUUUUACGGACGAAACGUUGUUUUUUCACCUUAGAACGCCCCGAUUUAAGUAAUGGGGUGGCUAGUCUCUUAGGUGUAUCGUUUUCCAUUGGGAAACAUGUGUGUUUCGUCCACUUAAAAGUUCAGAACAAAAAUCGAGUACAUACCAACCCGAAUUUUCGGACAAAACACCGUUCCCAUGGUCCAAAUAUUCUAUAUUGGCCUUAAAACGCCCCGACUAAGCCUUGUCGAUCUUGAGAUUUUAGAUUCCAAAACAAAUGAGUUUCGUCCAUUUCCAAGUUCGGACCGAAAACCGAGUAAAUGCCGACCGAACGGAUGGACAUAAAUCUCGUUUUUACGGACAGAACGAAUCAGACGAGCCCCACAAUGCCCUGAGUUAAGUAAUGGAGUGGCUAGUCUCUUAGGUGUAUCAUUUUCCAAUGGGAAACAUGUGUUUUUCGUCCACUUAUAAGUUCGGAACAAAAAUCGAGUACAUACCAAGCCGAAUGUCCGGGCAAAACACCGUUCCCAUGGUCCAAAUGUUCUAUUUUGGCCUUAAAACACCAAGACUAAUCCUUGUCGAUCAUGAGGUUUUAGAUUCCAAAACAAGUGAGUUUCGUCCAUUUCCAAGUUCGGACCGAAAACCGAGUAAAUGCCGACUGAAUGGACGGACAUAAAUCUCGUUUUUACGGAUGAAACGUUGUUUUUUCACCUUAGAACGCCCCGAUUUAAGUAAUGGGGUGGCUAGUCUCUUAGGUGUAUCGUUUUCCACUGGGAAACAUGUGUGUUUCGUNNNNNNNNNNNNNNNNNNNNNNNNNNNNNNNNNNNNNNNNNNNNNNNNNNNNNNNNNNNNNNNNNNNNNNNNNNNNNNNNNNNNNNNNNNNNNNNNNNNNNNNNNNNNNNNNNNNNNNNNNNNNNNNNNNNNNNNNNNNNNNNNNNNNNNNNNNNNNNNNNNNNNNNNNNNNNNNNNNAAAACCGAGUAAAUGCCGACCGAACGGACGGACAUAUAUCUCGUUUUUACGGACGGAACGUUGUUUUUUCCCCUUAGAACGCCCCUAGUUAAGUAAUGGAGUGGCUAGUACAUUAAUCAACUCAAAUAUCAGUUGAUUAACAUGCUAAUCAACUCAAUAAUAGUUGAUUAGUACAUUAAUCAACUCAAUAAUAGUUGAUUAGUAUAUUAAUCAACUCAACAAUAGUUGAUUAGUAUAUUAAUCAACUCAACAAUAGUUGAUUAGUAUAUUAAUCAACUCAAAUAUCAGUUGAUUAGUACAUUAAUCAACUCAAAUAUCAGUUGAUUAACAUGCUAAUCAACUCAACAAUAGUUGAUUAGUAUAUUAAUCAACUCAACAAUAGUUGAUUAGUAUAUUAAUCAACUCAAAUAUCAGUUGAUUAGUACAUUAAUCAACUCAAAUAUCAGUUGAUUAACAUGCUAAACAACUCAACAAUAGUUGAUUAGUAUAUUAAUCAACUCAACAAUAGUUGAUUAGUACAUUAAUUCAACAUUGCUCAGUGGAUGCUUGGAAUCUACAACUGUAACAUCUGCAAAAUUCACACUGUAUAGGAAGUCCCAAAGGUAAAAUGCCUACAAUAUAAGUCUUACAACAUAGACCAUUGCAACAACACUUCAAUUCAACAUAAAUGCAAAAUAGAUUCAUUUCAACUAACACAUAAUUACUUUAUCCAAACAUUCAUAAUCAUUUGUCCAAAAUAGAACAUCUGCCCACAUACAUUCCAAAUAACAUUUGUCCAAAAACAUCUGCCAAACCAAAAAACAACAUUUUUCCAAAAGCAACAGUUUAGGGUCAUUUUAUGUUUGCUUCCUAACAGGAAGCCAGCUGUCAACAAAAUUAGGUUUCCUUCCCAAGGUUUUGUUUCCUCCAUCAGUUUUCUUUGAGCCACCAACACUUGAACCAGCUUCUGUAGCCUUCCUUAUAGAGAACCUGACACCUGCUCUAGAAGUUGUUGCAAGUUUAGCUGCCAAACCUGAUGUUGUUGUUGUUGCCUUUGACUUUGAAGUUUCUGGAACCUGUGCAGCCUUUUUCUUGCCAGUAUUUGGAGCUGGAGCUUGUGGAACCUGUGCAGCUUUUUUCUUGCCAGUAUUUGGAGCUGGAGCUUGUGGAACCUGUGCAGCUUUUUGCUUGCCAGUAUUUGGAGCUGGUGGAACCAUUCUCCUGCCAGUAUUUGCUUGUGAAGCUUGUGGAGGAUUUACCUUACCAGUAUUUGAAGUGGAGUGCUUCCUAGGAGACUUUCUGACAACUUGUGAUGCUUGUGUGCUCUGAGAUGGCAUUGGAGUAGCUGAACUCAAAACCUGUGAAGUCUGUAUACUCUGGGAUGCAGCUGAUUGUCUUUUUCUCUUCACACCUUGUACUCCUUUCACAUUAUCAGUUGGUUGACUUUCUUGUGCACUUCCUGAUGAUUGAGCACUUUUAUUUCUUCUGACCUGUUUCAAGUAAAAUGUCAUAACCAUUAGGCUAAGCAUUAAUUCUAAUUUGUUUCAAGUAUAAUAACAUAAACUCUUUAACAAUAUACUUACUGCCAAUUUUUUUGGCUUAACUGGACAUGCAGGCUCCAAUCCUUUAGCAUACCUCUUUCUCUGCAGAUUAAAUGUAAGUGUAAGCAACAACACAAAUAAAAAUUCAUUUAAUGUAAAACAAUCUAAAAUUACACAAGUACUUACAGGUAAUGGAUAUGGUCUUGGUGGUAAAUUGCAUCUAGACUUAUUAUGUCCUUCUACUCCACAGUUACUACAACUCAUUUUAACUCCAACUUUUGAGAUUCUGAGCCCCCCACCCUUACUCUUCCUUUCUUCAUUCUUUCCCUUCUUUCUAGCCUUUGUUGGUCUACCUGGCAUCUUUCUAUCAAAUGGAGGCAAAAGAGGUUCACAAUUAGAUUUUGGCCACAACAUGGGACCAUCAAGUGGUUCAAUAUAAUGAUCAUAUGCCUUCUUCCAUUUCUCGACUGUGAACCAUUCAGAUAUGUAAUCCUCAGGAUUCUCCUUGAGAUAAUAAAUUGCUUUGAUAGAAUGACAACAUGGGAUCCCAGACAACUCCCACAUUCUGCAUGAACAUCUAUAAUUUUGUGGAUUCAAGUUCACAGAAAAUUGUUCUUCACCUAAUGAAACUUCAAACUUUCUAUUCCCAUUGUAAGAAACCCUCCAAAAUCUCUGAUCCAUCCUGUUCUCUUCAAACUUUUUCCUAAUUCUUGGAGUAAAUUUGUCUUUCACCAUCCAUUUUUCUAUUGCACUUUUGUUCCUCUCCAUCCUUCCCACUACAUAUUUCUUAAUGGUCUCCAACAUCCAGAUUAUUAGUUUACCCCUUGCUUCAACAAUUUUCCCAUUGAAUGUCUCACUCAUGUUAUUCUCUACAGCAUCACAACAAGCUUGUUUUGAAUAAAAUGCCCUAGACCAGUGUUUAGGAUCAGUUUUCAUGAGGUAGUCAUAAGCAUCCUCAGAAAUCUCCUUAAGGUCUGCCAUAUGUUGUUCAAAUUCCUGCUUAGUACCUGCUUUAGCUGCAGACCAGAAAAGCACCUUUAGUUCAGCACCCAUGUAGGACUUCCUCAUGUUAGAAUACACAUGCCUAGCACACAUCCUAUGUUCAGCUUCAGGCAUCAGCUCUUGAAUUGCUUGAAUUAAUCCUUUCUGUUUAUCUGAGAUGAAAGUCCAUCCAGCCCCUUCUGAUGUGUUCAAAGCUACCAUUAAAUGUUCUAGAAACCACUUCCAGUUUUCCUUAUUUUCAACUGUAACUACUGCCCAAGCAAAUGGGUACAUCUGGUUAUUUGCAUCCCUACCUACAGCUGUCAGCAAUUCACCCUUCACAUAUCCUUUAAAAAAACAUCCAUCAAGGCCUAUUAUAGGUCUACACCCUUCCAGAAAUCCUUGAAUGAGACUUGGAAAAGAAAUCCACAUAGUUUUCAAUGUUGGGGGAUCACCUGGCAGAGCUCUGUCAACAGUUAUAUCUACAACAGCACCUGGAUUCUUCUUAACCACUUCUUCACCAUAAUCUCUAACCCUUGCGUAAUGCUCCACCAAAGAACUCUCAAUCCCACCCAUAGCCCUAGCCCUUGCUCUGCCACACAUGUUAAUGCUAACAUCUAUAGAAUAUGUUUCCAACACAUUAGUCUGAAAAUCCUUCAACUUCCACUGCGGGUUAUCAAGCAACUUUUUCUGGUAUACCUUAGCCAACCACUCGGCCUUAACAAUCUUAAUAUUAAAAGUCCUUGUACACCUGUGUUCUAAAUUCAGUGUUUUUAUUUGCACACUAUUCUCAUCUGACAUCUUUGUGGCCCACAACCUCCAUGGACAUCCUUUCACACACUUUGCAAGCAAAAUGUCUUUGCUUGUUCUGUCAAAGUUAAUGCCCCAACCAUUUUUAACUGCAUAUCCUGUUAUACAGUCUCUGAGUUGAUCAGUGUUCUUGAAUUUCUGGUACAAUUCAGGAACAAAUGUGAAAAUAUCCCUCUUAGGAUUCCAGACUGGACAUUUAGGUUUCUUUAUUUUUUUCUUUAUCACUGAAUCUUCUUCAUCACUGCUAUCUGAUGAUCUGUUCAAUUCAUCACUGUCAGCAACAUCACUUAACUCACCAUCUACAUUAAAACAGGUUUCUGCAUUAUCAACAAAAGCAGGUAGUUCCACAUCUUCUGAUUUUUUGGUAGUCUUUUUUCCCUUCUUUCCUUUCCUUUCUUUUUGUUGUUCAACUCUUACUUCUCUUAGUUCAUCAUCACUUACAUCAAUAGAUCUUGCCUCACUAUCAACACUUCCAGUUUCACAAACUUGGUCACUCUCUUCGUAAAUAUCAUUGUCUUCAUCAUCUUCAUAAGCAGCAUUAUUGUCUUCAUCAUUUUCAUAAACAACAUUGUCUCCAUGCUCUUCUGGUUUAUUAGGCUGACUUGAUUCCCCAAAGUCCCAGAAUACCUCAUCAAACAAAUCAUGUUCAACAUAGAGCUCAAUCAGCUCUUUACUCUGCACAACAUUCAUCAUAUCUACAGUGCUUCUAUCAUCCACAACCAGCCUUAAGUUAUCCUUCAAAGGUCUUCCAGCUACACACCAAUGUAUCUUACUCACAUCUCUAUAUUUCAAAUCAUCUUUAAUGUAGGACUUAAUCUCAACUGCACCAAGCUUAUCAACAUCCAAUGCAAAAUAGUCUUUUUUCCCCAUCUUAUAAUGCAGCGAAGGAAUGAGGGAAAAAAACCCUCCAUGAUGUACCUCAAACAGAAUUUCUUGCAUCACUGUUUCAAAGUGAUAAAAAAAAUGCUUAAUAACAAACAUCACAAUAGUUAAGUGUUGAAAUGUCCAUUACAAUAAACUAAGUGUCAAAACAAACAUUGCUUAAUAAACUAAGUAUCAUGAAUAAACUAGUAUUGUAUACCAACAUACUUAAUAAGCAUGCACCCAAACCAAAUAGAAUGUACAGAGGAACAUUUUGGACGUGGGAUUAUUAUGCCAGACAAUGCAGUUUUCAGGAAAUAAUUUCAUAACAUGCAACCCCAUUUCCUUCAUUCACCUUAAACAGACACAAGCAUGCAACCCCAUUUCCUUCAUUCACCUUAAACAGACACAAGCAUGACAGACAGAAAGAUGGAUUAUCAACAGCUUUUCUGCCACACAAGGGGUUUAAGCAAGGAAAUUAAAGACCUAGAACCAAAUAUGCUAGAUUUCAAAAGACUAAUGCACUGCACUGCACUGCACUGCAACUCAAUAUCAGAUCAUGAAAAUAAGGAUCCCAACAAAAGCAUAACACGUUCAAUUGAAUUUGGUAACAUGAUUCUCAGUUGUAUAGCUGCUAAAC